AAAGCUCCCCCUUCCGUCCCCUCUUCUCCCCUAGAACCCAGACGAUGGUGGCGCCCCUUACGCACGGCGAGCAGCGCGAGCUGCACACAGCCUGAAGUGCUCAUCUCGGAUGGUGCUAGUCGAUCUCAUGGCUGGUGCCCGAGGGCGCUCGUCCCAUGGUGGCCAAGGCAGCAGCCAGCACGGGCGGCAGCUCGGCGUGCGCGGAGGUGGCGACAUCGUUUCGGAUCCAGCCAUGGCCGGCAGCAACGGAAGCUGAGGCAGAAUGGAUCCGGCCGUCAGCGUCACGGAUCCGGCCGACACCGGCACCAUGGAUCCGGCCGUCAGCGUCACGGAUCCGGCCGUCAGCGUCGCAUCCAGCGCGGCCCGUCCGUGGCAUCUCCCUCAAGCCGCAGGAGGAGGAGCACGAGCGCCGCACCAUGGCCUCGACGGAGAAGUUGGCGCUCGAGGUCGAGGAGAUUUGCAGUGGUUGCUACGUCGGCUCGCUUCAACGAUGGCCACAGUAAUAGUGUUGUGGCCGCAUUCAUCAACGGUCGAGGCCAUGGCAGAGCCUUGCUGGUGCUGGAUCUGAUCGGGAUGCAGCCGGCGAAAGGUACUGUGAUAUGCAAUGGAGCUACUCCAUAAAGUGGUAUAGAACUGACAAGAACUUGUUGGAAUCUGGGUCUAAACUUCAGAGAGGAAAAACUGAAGCAGCUGGACUGAAGCAAUUGGGUACUUGCUUAUCACUAGAAUGGCAUUAUGCCCUUACACAUGUGCUGCUGCUGCAGGUUUAGAUUUGAGACUUGAGACUCUACAUGUAUAAUGAAUUGGUGGAUUGAUGUAAUGAUAUUGUAUUUACUAUGGAGAUGUUAAUUCAUUUGGAUCUGAUGUUUUAUAUGUUGAAAAUUUAUAUGGAUGCAAUUAUAUCGGCUGAA
This is a long non-coding RNA of Sorghum bicolor (sorghum), 911 nucleotides long. RefSeq lists it as uncharacterized. The record is from RefSeq and is a predicted model, not a curated record. The transcript is spliced from 3 exons. Lineage: Eukaryota; Viridiplantae; Streptophyta; Magnoliopsida; Poales; Poaceae.